GCAUGCCUCAUACAUGCAAGUCGAACGAGGUCUUCGGACCUAGUGGCGCACGGGUGAGUAACAUGUGGGAAUCUACCUGAAGGUUCGGAAUAACUGCGGGAAACUGUAGCUAAUACCGGAUGUGUCUGCAAAGAGAAAGAUUUAUCGCCUUCAGAUGAGCCCGCACUAGAUUAGCUAGUUGGUGAGGUAAUUGCUCCACCAAGGCUACGAUCUAUAGCUGAUUUGAGAGGAUGAUCAGCCACACUGGGACUGAGACACGGCCCAGACUCCUACGGGAGGCAGCAGUAGGGAAUAUUGGACAAUGGGGGAAACCCUGAUCCAGCAAUGCCGCGUGAGUGAAGAAGGCCUUCGGGUUGUAAAGCUCUUUCAUCAAUGAUGAUAAUGACAUUAGUUGAAGAAGAAGCCCCGGCUAACUUCGUGCCAGCAGCCGCGGUAAUACGAAGGGGGCUAGCGUUGUUCGGAAUCACUGGGCGUAAAGCGUAUGUAGGCGGAUCAAAAAGUUAGAUGUGAAAUCCCUGGGCUCAACCCAGGAACUGCAUUUAAAACUAGUGAUCUAGAAUUUGGUAGGGGCCAGUAGAAUUUCCAGUGUAGAGGUGAAAUUCGUAGAUAUUGGAAAGAAUACCAGUGGCGAAGGCGACUGGCUGGGCCAUUUUUGACGCUGAGAUACGAAAGCGUGGGUAGCAAACAGGAUUAGAUACCCUGGUAGUCCACGCAGUAAACGAUGAGUGCUAGUCGCUGGGACAAUAGUUUCAGUGUCGAAGCUAACGCAUUAAGCACUCCGCCUGGGAAGUACGGUCGCAAGAUUAAAACUCAAAUAAAUUGACGGGGGCCCGCACAAGCGGUGGAGCAUGUGGUUUAAUUCGAAGCAACGCGAAGAACCUUACCAGACCUUGACAUGGUAUGUUUGAAUUACAGAAUCGUAAUUCUUCAGUUCGGCUGGCAUACACACAGGUGCUGCAUGGCUGUCGUCAGCUCGUGUCGUGAGAUGUUGGGUUAAGUCCCGCAACGAGCGCAACCCUCAUUUUUAGUUGCCAUCAGGUUAAGCUGGGCACUCUAAAAAAACUGCCGGUGAUAAGCUGGAGGAAGGCGGGGAUGACGUCAAGUCCUCAUGGCCCUUACGGUCUGGGCUACACACGUGCUACAAUGGUGGUGACAGUGGGCAGCAAUACUGCAAAGUAAAGCUAAUCCCAAAAAACCAUCUCAGUUCGGAUUGGACUCUGCAACUCGAGUCCAUGAAGUUGGAAUCGCUAGUAAUCGUAGAUCAGCGUGCUACGGUGAAUACGUUCUCGGGCCUUGUACACACCGCCCGUCACGCCAUGGGAGUUGGUUUUACCUUAAGCCGGUGCGCUAACCGCAAGGAAGCAGCCGUCCACGGUAGGGUCAGCGACUGGGGCGAAGUCGUAACAAGGUAACCGUAGGGGAACCUGCGGUUG
RNAcentral lists this ribosomal RNA (1433 nucleotides) under marine metagenome. RNAcentral's name for it is "bacterial SSU rRNA". It matches the Rfam family "Bacterial small subunit ribosomal RNA". The record is from RNAcentral.